Molecule: small nucleolar RNA, 135 nt
Filed under: Cercocebus atys (sooty mangabey)
Lineage: Eukaryota; Metazoa; Chordata; Mammalia; Primates; Cercopithecidae
Description: U8 small nucleolar RNA (ENSCATG00000001233.1)
Rfam family: U8 small nucleolar RNA
About the family: U8 is a member of the C/D class of snoRNA which contain the C (UGAUGA) and D (CUGA) box motifs. U8 is the RNA component of a small complex (the U8 snoRNP) which is required for accumulation of mature large subunit ribosomal RNAs, 5.8S and 28S rRNAs. U8 RNA has been identified in human, mouse, rat and Xenopus.
Source: Rfam by way of RNAcentral
UCGUCAGGUGGGAUCAUCUUUACCUGUUUCUCCUUUUGGAGGGCAGAUCAGAACAUGACGAUUGCAGAAGAAUGAAACGUGAUUAACAACUCUGUGUAAUCAGGCCUUGCAGCACCCUGACUGAGCCUUUCUGAU